This 443-nucleotide ribosomal RNA is filed under the name uncultured bacterium. RNAcentral's name for it is "partial 16S ribosomal RNA". It matches the Rfam family "Bacterial small subunit ribosomal RNA", at positions 338 to 795 of the family's 1533-position model. The record is from RNAcentral.
CCUACGGGAGGCAGCAGUGGGGAAUAUUGGACAAUGGGGGGAACCCUGAUCCAGCGACGCCGCGUGAGUGAAGAAGUAUUUCGGUAUGUAAAGCUCUAUCAGCAGGGAAGAAAGGAAUGACGGUACCUGACUAUGAAGCCCCGGCUAACUACGUGCCAGCAGCCGCGGUAAUACGUAGGGGGCAAGCGUUAUCCGGAUUUACUGGGUGUAAAGGGAGCGUAGACGGUUACGCAAGUCUGGAGUGAAAGGCGGGGGCACAACCCCCGGACUGCUUUGGAAACUGUAUAACUGGAGUGCAGGAGAGGUAAGUGGAAUUCCUAGUGUAGCGGUGAAAUGCGUAGAUAUUAGGAGGAACACCAGUGGCGAAGGCGGCUUACUGGACUGUAACUGACGUUGAGGCUCGAAAGCGUGGGGAGCAAACAGGAUUAGAUACCCCUGUAGUC